CCCUCCCUCCUCCAAGCCCAGAUCUGCGCGAAGGGAGCGCCCCCAGGAGGGGGACCGACUCGCUCCCCGCCUGGCAGCUCAGCUCUCGGCAGCCCCGGGAGCCCGACCCUGCUCCCCCACCUGACUCCACUGGGUCCGGUUUCCCUUUCCCACCACCGUGGGAGCCUGGCUUCAGAGGGGACGGGUGCGAUGGAAGGUGGGGGCAGGCUCCUCACGCGGCCACCCCUGGCUGCCUGCCUGGAAAGGCCCCUUGCACAGGCCAGGCCAUCUCAGAAAUUAUCACUGGCAGGAGGUGGCAGACACUGGUGCCCAGGGCUGUGCGUCCCCAGGCAGGUGGGAGGUCGAGUAUCCGGGAAGGGAACCCUGUGGGCUUCUCCUGCCUCUGGACACCUCUGCAGUCAACCAAUUGAGCAGCCUCACCGAGGAGACGCCUCACCCCGCCUCUUAAUUAUCAAUGUGAAGUUGCCUGGAUGAAGACCAGUGACUCCCGUAGUUCCACACUUCGUCUUGGGCUGGGGGUCCCCUGAGUGGUCUCUCCUCCCCCGUGAAUGCCAGAUAGGCAGGUGAAGGAUGACAGGGCUCAGAAGGGCCACCUACCUCGGCCCCUGCCGCGCUGUCACAUCUCAACCAGCUGUUGAAGUCCGUGCACAGAGGCAGCAGGGCCUCCAGGUCCCAGCUUCUGAGGCUCCUUGGGAACCACACUGCCCAGCUCAUCCUGCUGGCUGUCUCACCUCCUCCCCUGGUUGCAUCCCACCCACAGCUGCGCUCCUGCCCCUCCUGGAAACCCCUCUUUGUUUAUUUGGAGAUGUGUUCCCCACCCGCCAGCCUGUCUCCUGCCCUGAGUCCUUCUCGGCUGGUCCCCCUCACUGAUCCCUCCCAGCCUGCCUUUGUGUCACCCUGCUCGCACUCUCUAUUCUUAGCCUCCACUCUUUCAUGCUCCCAGAGGCCGGCCCUUUCAGAGCAUCUCUUCACUUUCUGUGUUCUCCUUCCCUCCGACCACUGUUCCCAUUUCUCCAGCUCCACUGUCUUUCCCCCUCCCUCCAGGCCCUGGUGUGUGCUGUUCAUCUCGAGUCAGACCUACGUAAUUGUCCACAGGUUGUUUGGACUUGAAACACCGUUGCUCUCACAUCUGCAUGCACACAGUAGGUGCUCAAUAAAUGGGCAUCCCUUUGGUCUCUUCUACCCAGAACUCUUUAUUAGAACGCCCUUUCUUCUCCCAGCAUAUCAUCUCCUCUUUCUGGUCUCACUUCCACCUAAUCUCCAAUUCUUCCUUCCUUCAAUACAUCUCUGUGUGUCCCUGUGCCAGGCACUCUGCUAGGCUCUGAGAACACAUUGAAAUCGCCAUCAGUGAUUAUUGAGCACUUGCUGUGUGCCAUGAUUCUGCUUUUAGGUCUUCACAACAAUCAGAUGCUGAUGCAAGCCCCAUUUACAAAUGAGGAAACUGAGGCACAGGAUGUUGAAACACCAAGAAGACACAUCAGAUUGAAACAGGACACUUUGGUCUGGGAGAAAGUAAGCUGGGAUUUCUGCUGCAGUGUGGCAGAUGCAGCAAGAGACAUUGUGGUGUGAUAGAGGAAGAACGGGUAGAGCUGGACUCUGAGCACAGCUCUGCCCCACACAGUCUGGAUGAUGCAUCCCACAAGCCCCUUCUCCCAAAAUGCAGAUAAAAUGAGGCAAUUUUGACAGUGGCAUUUGGCAACCCUAUGCCAUGUGUCAAGCCUGUGUCGACACGUGUCA
Molecule: non-coding RNA, 1737 nt
Organism: Ictidomys tridecemlineatus (thirteen-lined ground squirrel)
Lineage: Eukaryota; Metazoa; Chordata; Mammalia; Rodentia; Sciuridae
Source: RefSeq, a predicted model, not a curated record